RNAcentral lists this ribosomal RNA (468 nucleotides) under uncultured bacterium. Its description in RNAcentral is "partial 16S ribosomal RNA". It matches the Rfam family "Bacterial small subunit ribosomal RNA", at positions 28 to 507 of the family's 1533-position model. The record is from RNAcentral.
GACGAACGCUGGCGGCGUGCUUAACACAUGCAAGUCGAACGGAAAGGCCCUGCUUUUGUGGGGUGCUCGAGUGGCGAACGGGUGAGUAACACGUGAGUAACCUGCCCUUGACUUUGGGAUAACUUCAGGAAACUGGGGCUAAUACCGGAUAGGAGCUCCUGCUGCAUGGUGGGGGUUGGAAAGUUUCGGCGGUUGGGGAUGGACUCGCGGCUUAUCAGCUUGUUGGUGGGGUAGUGGCUUACCAAGGCUUUGACGGGUAGCCGGCCUGAGGGGGUGACCGGCCACAUUGGGACUGAGAUACGGCCCAGACUCCUACGGGAGGCAGCGGUGGAGAAUAUUGCACAAUGGGCGGAAGCCUGAUGCAGCAACGCCGCGUGCGGGAUGACGGCCUUCGGGUUGUAAACCGCUUUCGCCUGUGACGAGGCGUGGGUGACGGUAAUGGGUAAAGAAGCAACGGCUAACUACGUG